CAAAUACAGUUCCAGUGAGGACAGGCAGAGGCUAUGACUCAGAGCUCGCUGGAGCGGGGGUCGGCCGCCAUCUCUUGGUUUGGCAGAGGCUCCAGGCAGGCAGGGCGAUGGGAGAGGUUUCUCGUGAAAAGGGAAGGCUCCACGGGUGCAGACUGGAGGCUGCUGGCCAGCGGCCACCUUUCCUCCCUGCUCCGUUGGGACAGACUGGAUCUGUGGGUUUCCCGGGAGGGUGGCUGUGGGUUUUCUGGGAGGGUGGCUCGGGGCUGGAACCUGCUCAGGCUGGGUGGUGGAGUUCUGUCAGACCCUCCCCAGGCCCACCUCCCCUUCUCCCUCUCUUCUCCUUUUUCCCCUCCAAGCAAACCACCAGGGCUGGCCUGCCCCUGACCCCAGGCACCUGGCAGGUGGGGCUGGUCUGCUCUGGAGCUGCAGAGGUGAUGGGCGGAGGCUCUGGCCUCCUCCCACCCUGAGCCUUCUGCCCUCCCUCCUUCCCCAGAGCUGGGCAUUGCUCCACAAGGCGCUGUGCUAGGGGCAUUUGUCCCCCUCCUCAAGUCUGUGCCAUCGCCUCCCCACCACCCUCCAGGGCUGGGAGUGUGGGGGGGACUUCAGGGCCAGUAGGGUCCUCUGGGCUCCCCAGGCUAUUGUCUCCCUGGUGACAGGGACAACGAGCAUCCUCCAUUCUAGGACAGCCUGUAUCUGAAAGCACCCCCAACCCGCCGUCCUCCCCACGGCUUCCCCUUGGUUGGCAUUGAUCUGGACACCAGCUGGUUUCACCACAGUGACCUUGUCCCACCCCACCCAGCUGCCUCAUCUCUCUGUCACCCUAGCCUGACAGUGUCACCCAUCCUUGGGCUGGGGGACAGGUGGGGCAAAAUGGCACCUGCCUCCUACCCUCGCUGCUGGUGUAGGAAUGGAUGGUUAUGGGCGCUGGCUGGUGGUGGUCGCCGCAUCCUUCAAUUUAUUUCUCUGCUCUUUCUGUUCUUGAGAAAUCAGGGAGGGAGGUGUAAUGCUGCCCCUAUUCACCACCACCAACAUCCCCCCAGCUCUGCUGUCAGUCCAGGCGCAGCAGCAGGUUGAGCCCUUGAGUCCCACAAGGGAGCCUCAGUAAGAUAGCACUCCUGCCCGACACCCUGACCCAGGCUCCCACUGCUACCAAGGACUCUCUCUCCUUCCACUCCCUAUUCCUUCCCUGUGGAACAGCCUGGAUGCCCUGAGGCAUCCAGGAGAGCAUGGCUUUAUUCCCAAAGAGGGUGGGGGCCAGGGCACCCCAGCAAGUGGUCCCUCACCACCCAGCAUCCCCUCUUGCACUUAGUCUUUCAUAGGGACCAAACACAUAGUAAAAAGAAUGUUUGGGAGGGGAGCCUUUAGACCUCUAUAAAGACUUUUAAUCUGAGAGGAAGGGGGAGACACUGGAGAGUUUUCACAGAGAACUGACGUAAGCUGACUUAUGCUUUAACGGGAUCCCUAAUUGAUAAAGUGUUUAGGGGAACAAGGGCAGAAGUAGGUAGACAACAGGAAAUAUUGCCGUAACCCAGGGGAGUGGUGAUGGUAGAUUGGACCAGGGUCAUGGAAGCAAAGGUGGGAAGAGGAGUGUGUCCCUGUGGCUGGCAGCUUGUACCUGCUGAAUUAGCAGUCAGCUGGCCUGACUUCUGAUGGACCUCCAGCAGGGCUCUCUCUGCCUCUCAGGCUCAGUAUGGUCUUCCAUCCUCUUCUCCCAAUCUCUUCUCCCAGCUGAUAUCAGAAGAUUCAAGCAGCAGAGGCCAAAGGGAGUAAUAUAAGAUGUAAGUUACUAAGCAUGGAACUAAAGGAGAGAUGAGACAGAGGAAGAGAAAGGCCACGCAUUCAUGAGUCUUAGUUGCAAGCAACAGAAUCCAACUCAGGUUGAUUUCAACAAGAAAGGAAUUUAUGAUAAUGAUACUGGGUAGAUCACAAAAUUGACAAUAUGGAUGGUGAGCCAGCGUCUGUGAAACACAGGAUCAAUGCCCACUACGACAUGGCACAACUCAUCAAGUGUGGACAUCCCUACCACCACUGGCAAGGAGAAGACUCUACGGCUUGUACUAAUUUCUCUAGCAAUGGACACUGUGUACCACCGCUGGCCUUGCUCUCUCUACUGCCCUCAGAACUCAAUCUGAGUGGAGGCCCCCAGUCCCUAUUUUUUUUAGUCACUGCUUCCUGACUCCAAAUCAAAUAAGUCACUUGACCAGGCCCUACCUGCAAGGGAGUCUAGGAAAGCAAGAGUUUGGCAUUUUUAUCUCCCAUUGGGUGAGGCAGCCUCUGCAUCCCACUAUUAGGUUAGGAAAAUACCAAACAUACAAGGGAUUUCAGAUGCUAAGCAGACCAAAAUAUUAAAUGUCCAUAAGAAAAAGUAUAUCCGUGGGGAUCAGUGAAUGUACUAUGAUUAUAAAAUUACCGGACUGAUUCCCUUCUGUGGAUCUAAUCCACACUACCAGAAGGAAAAUCCAAAAGGAAAAUUAUAAAAAUGUCCCAUCUUUUAUUAAGUGAUUUACCCUCCUGAGAAAACUACUUUAAAUGGUUAACAUUCAUUUGGAUAUUUGUUUGACUAUUAUUAAGAAUAACAUGAUAAAAUUUUUAUUUAAAAAAUGUUUGCAUGGCCUAGAUAUAUCUAUGUACACAUAUAGAUAUAUAAAUAUAAAUAUCCAUAUAGAGAGAGAGAGAGAGACAGAGAGAAAAUACUAGAACACUGACAAUAUCUUUUAAUAGCCACCUUGAUCCAGCUGUAACUAGAGCUGAAUAAACUCUUAGAAUUCCCAGGUAUUCAAAAAAAUAAAUUACCUUUUGGGUUUCAGUUAGUUUGAGGUGAGUUUCUGUUACUUGUACCCAAGAGAUUCUAGAACACGAAAUAUAUGUAUUUAAAUAUUAUUGGCAGUUAACAUUUGUUAUUAGUUUGGCCUACAGACAUAAAUGGUCUUAUAUGAGAAAACUUUAAGUAAUAUCAUAAGUAAAUGGAGUAAUAAAAGGUGAAAUGUUAUAGAUUUAUUUUUAUAACCCUCAUAUCUAGAGCUAUGACAAAUUUUAUAUUUUAAAUUUUUCCAUAGUUUUUAAAGUUUAGUUUUUCCUAAUGUGUAGGUGGGACAUAGGCAUGUUUAACAAAAAGAAGAAAGAGGUCCUGCAGUAUUUUGAAAAAUUGUUUUUAAGUUCCAAGCAAGACAGGUUCUAUUUUUUCCUGGAAAGGAACUUGUUUUGACAUAGAUUUAAUGUCAGUGGGUGAAAGAAAUAAUAGAUUUUAAAACUUAAGCUAUUUAUAACAUGUGAGAAAAUGAGUAAGGAAGAUUAAAUUUGUGAUUUAAAUAAAUAUAUAGUAAUCGCAUAAAAUUAGGCUCAACUAAGCAUCUGAAUCUAGCACUGAUGCCCUCUUAUCCUCAAUACACACAGGCGCACACACGCAUUAAACAGGUACUUUGCUCAAGGGUUCUAGACACAGAUUAGACUUAAAUAGUGCAUUAAAAUGUGUUUAAGAAUUUUAUGGGGUAAUUCUCGCCAAUCAUCAAAAAAUGAACACGGACAUUUGCCUCCCCUCCUUCCUAUGACUCCACUAAAAUAAUAGUAACUGGAUUAGGUUGAAAGGUCAAACCCCAAGGAUAAAUAGAAGUGGCAAGGAGACAACAGCACAAUUUUGGAAGCAAGAAUGCGGAUGUAUGAGCAGUAACUUUCUAGCAAACACGAGAAAGCCAAAACCUAAGCCGGCGGUGGCGGAAGUAUAAGCAAGCUCGUUGCUGCCGCAGGUGAAAGGGAGGCGUCAGGGGCCCUGUGGGAAACUCAGGGGAGUCGCUGGAAGUCUGAGUACAGAUGUUAGAGGCGCCUUCCCCUCCCCACGGCCGGCCGAAGACCAGAGGUUUACUCUCUGGAGAUGUUAAUUCAACAGAGCUCUGGACUUUAGGGCCCUGGUCUCCCCUGUGGGUGGAGAGGCUGUGCUGAAAACGUGAACCAGUGAGAGUCCUCACACCAAACACUGACCCUCUGGCCUCCUUGUCCACUAGGCCCCCCGAAUAUUGGGGGUUAAUUUAGGGUGCAGCUUUCAGGCUACCUUACUUUCUUCUUUCUGUUUAUAUGUUUUUUAAUUCUUUACAGUGCACAUGUAUUAUGCAUGUAGUUCAACAAAAUUUAAGGGAGGUAUAAUACAUUGUGAAAUAAACGCUGAAAAUUGAUAUGAUAAAAUAUAUAUUUCUGGAUUAGGGAGAUAGGAGAAGGGGAUAUGUGCCUCGUUGUAAGAGAGCCAACUCCUCAUCUUCCAGAGUAGAAAGGAAGCAAAAAAGAAACAAAUUGAAAAAUUAAGAAAGAGUAUUAGAGACAUGUUAUAGAAAUGUGAAGGUAAAUAAUAGAAGAAACAGUUAAAAGAGAUGGAAAAUUGUUGCCUUUGGAGAGUGAGAACCAGUGGUGGUGAAGAUUGGAACAGGGUGCUGACUUGCAUUUUAUGACGUAUAACUUUGUGGCUUCAUGCAGGAGAACAUAUGUGACUUGAAUGAAAUUUAAAGGAACUAUAAGCAUUGCGGAGUGUUAAUAUACUUACACAAAGAAUCUUCCAUUUUUCUAAGCAUUUAUGUAUUAAAUUUGCAAAAGUUUGAGAAGUACAAAAAUGACUGAAUUUCAUGUUAGAACACUUAGAAGCCAUGAAAGACAUGCUCAUGGGACAGUGAAGAGAUUGAGUGGACUGUAGGGCCAAAGUGAGAUUCUUACAUGAUGGAGAUGAACAGAAAUACGUCAGAAAGAGAAGGACUGAAAAUGAGGAAAUUGAGAAAUGCUAAAUCUAAUCAAACAGAAAUGCCAGGAACAGUCAACAUGUUAUAGACGGUGUGGAAGAAUAUAAAAUAGGUCAUAAGUAUGAGUUCUCCAUGAUAAGACACUGACGGAAGAGCUAAACAAUAGAGUUAACAACUAUUAUGGCCUGUCAAAAUGGCAUAUGUUAGGUAAAAUAUGAGUGUAUAAAAAACCUGGAGGAUAUUUGAAAAUCUAUUCCUAGAAAACUACCUCCCAAAAAAUUCAGAAUGGAUUCUUUUAAAUCUGUAACAACUUUCCAGUGACAACAUGUCCGUACUACAAUGCCAUACACUCACCCAUGGAUGGUUGAGCUGUGCGAUUUUAAAAACGAAAACAAGAAAAUGGAAAAGAUACUCUUCACCAAAACAAAAGCAAAUGAAAUGGCUCUUCUCUCAGACGUGAAUCAAAAACUUAGUUAUGUAUAAGAAAGAGUGUUUAAAGAAGACCAUGCCACUUUACUGAAGUAGGGAAAGAAAAUUCUACUGACCGUAGCAUAUUGAAGAACACAAAAAUCCAGGAAAAACGGAGAAGAGGUAUGAUGAACGUAUCAGUGAGCAGUGAGGCACAAGCCAAAGUUUUUAAGGUCACCCUGCCUGUGGUACUCAAGGUAAAUUUGGACUUCACGGGGACUGGCAUGAGUUUAGAGGCCCAGGAGACCCUCAAAUGCUGCCCAAAAUACUAAAAGAAUCGUUUUACCUAAUAAACUUUAUAAGCCAGAUAAUGAAAGACAGUUACUCAUGUACCUACUUUCUCAGACCACACCCUCAUAUUUGACAUCUGAGUACUGGAUAAAGAUAAGAGCUAUCAUUUAUUGUGUGUUUCCUGUGGGGCAACCACAUGUAUUAGGUCCUUUACUAAUUCGACAAAUAUUUACUGAAUGUCUUCCAGGUGCCAGGCACCAGGGCUGUAGCUGUGAACAUGACAGACGUUAUACCUACCUUCCCAGAGUUUACGGUCUAAUAACAUAUAGGAUUAGACCUUACACAAGGAUGGGAGGAGUUGGGGAAGGAAAGAAAGUCCAGACUCAGGAGAUAGAAGGUAGAGGAGCAGAGAAAAGCCACAGUUAGCUCUCCUAAAGUAGUCAUCUGAGGGCAACACAGAACCUGCAGGGAAAUGGGAGGAAGAGUUCAUCUAGCUGUAAGAAUGGGACUCAGAUGGAAGGUUCUUGCCUCUGCAUCUGACCCUUGACUUAGGGUUGCUGUUGGUCAGCAGUGCAGGCCGGGAGGAAAAAGAGCUGUGGUAAAAUGAAGAGAGCAAGGACAAACUAGAACCCACUAGGACCUACAUCUGUCCCUCCCUGCACUAACCACUGCCUACAGGGAAUAAUGGCUGCUACUUCACCCUCACCUUCCAGAUCUUGCACAGGUGGUGUUUAAAGGUCUGAGGUGGGCUGAGAUCCCCAAGUGAGUGAGCAAGCCAGGAGAAGACUGAGAACCAACGAUGGGACAGGAAGAGGACAGGCAAGAAGAGGAGGGGCCAGCAAGCCAGCCAAGAAGUGACCACUGAGGGAGGCAGAACACCAGGAGAGCAUAGCCUCAGAUGGUGACAAUGGUGAGAAGUCAACAGGAAAGCCUAGAUUUCCACAAGGAAGGGAAAAAACAGUUAUGAGAGAAAAGAGUGAGAGAAGACGGAAAGAGAGAAAUGAAUUUGGGUUUGGAAGAAUAUUUAGAGUUGGGAGUUGAGAGAAAAGAGCUUCUGGAUGCAACUUCUGUUCAUGAGGAAUAUUUUGAGAGGGACAAUGAUUGGACAAAUACUUUAAGUUCUGCUGUCCAUUAGGAAUGUUGUUUGCCACCUCAUUAGACUGAGUAAAAAUUUUGUUUAAUUACUCAUUUGUUGUUGAUAACAGAUUUCUUUAAAAUCAUUCCCAUAUAUAACCUGUGCACUAAACAAUUAAGAAGCACAAGAUUACUUUGUUAUGUUUAGGUUAUAAUUAUAGAUUUUUUUUAAUCCUAAGUACCAUUAUUCUGUGAGUCUGUAAUUUAUAUUAAAUACAUUGGCAUUGACCACCUGCUGGUUCCAAGCUAUACUCCUGGAGUGAUCCAUCACACUAGGGAGAACACCGCUCCACAGGUGGUAGCUAGUGUUUGAAACACUGUGAUGGAAAGUCACACCUCAGAGCGCUCCUCCAACAGUAUCGACUACCUUUAUCAACUCCAGGUAGUGGUAAUGAGCUGCGGUUUUUCACUA
Molecule: long non-coding RNA, 6963 nt
Organism: Equus caballus (horse)
Lineage: Eukaryota; Metazoa; Chordata; Mammalia; Perissodactyla; Equidae
Source: RefSeq, a predicted model, not a curated record